Molecule: long non-coding RNA, 231 nt
Organism: Suricata suricatta (meerkat)
Lineage: Eukaryota; Metazoa; Chordata; Mammalia; Carnivora; Herpestidae
Exons: 3
Source: RefSeq, a predicted model, not a curated record
GGACAGGAUGUAACUGCUCUGGCGUUUCCAGAAUGGCUGCUGUGUAUCCAUCCCUAUGUUGUGAGGGCCUCGGGAGCAUCAAGACAUGAUUUUUUGCUGCCCUAAUGUCUGCUGUCUGCUAAGGUCCUGGGCAAGCAAGACCAGGUGCGAUUUCAGCAAAUGUGAAAAAAAAUGUACAAAUACAGAAGGAGAAUGGAAACCUAUUUUCCUAUUAAGCUGAGCAGAAGUAAU